Pseudonaja textilis is the source of this 290-nucleotide non-coding RNA. The record is from RefSeq and is a predicted model, not a curated record. Lineage: Eukaryota; Metazoa; Chordata; Lepidosauria; Squamata; Elapidae.
CCAGGAUGUGGGGUCUGUAGAUAUUUUCUCAGCCCUCCUUCUGACCCACACAAUAUACAGGUCUUCUACGGAAAGGAGGCUGGUUGCAAUUAUUUUUUCUGCAGUUCUAACUAUCCAUUGAAGUACCUGUCCUAUUUAGCUGCUGUACCAAACCAGUCAGUUAUAGAAGUACAGGUGACAGACAGACUCAAUAAUUCUUCUGCAGAAUUGUAUGAACAGCUCCUGGGGCAGUUUGAACUUCCUAAGUUGACACAGGAAGAACAUUCUUUGUUAGAAAUCUGUCUUCCAAU